RNA transcript from Pieris brassicae (large cabbage white), 857 nucleotides. It is a transcript of the gene named chymotrypsin-1-like, with no coding region annotated. The record is from RefSeq and is a predicted model, not a curated record. The transcript is spliced from 5 exons. NCBI's taxonomy places the organism in Eukaryota, Metazoa, Arthropoda, Insecta, Lepidoptera, Pieridae.
AUGUAUUUUAAAAUCGCAAUCGUAACGUUUUGCCUAAUUUUAAAAAUAGAAGGAGGUUCUACGGUCCAGCCAUACAAUGUAAAGGAUUUUUUAUCUUCUCGUAUAGUCGGGGGUAUAGAAGCCUCUCCUAGAUACGUCAAGCAGAUGCCCUGGUGUUUGGCGAAAGAUUUAAAUGGUUGACUUGUGGUGGAUCUAUUAUUACGCCAAGACACGUUCUGACUGCCGCCCAUUGUAUUGAUCCUUACAUCGAUCGUUGGAGCCCAACAGGACUUAAUCCAUCAUUACGAGGUUCAAUUGGUUCAAAGUACUGGGUUUCUACUAAGUACAUCAUCGAUUUUCAAGGAUUCGUCAACCAUCCUAAAUGGAAUUCAUUUACGAUUAAAAAUGAUAUUGGCAUACUGAUAACAAAGAGAGAGAUACAGUACAAUGAUGUCAUCCAACCCAUAGCGUUGAGUUUGAAGUUUAUAGACCGUUCAGUGACAAGUUUUGUCACCGGUUGGGGUGAUUUGGAGGUGUUUGGACAGACACCUGAUCGUCUACAGAUGUUAAUUACCAGCACUAUAACAUCUGAGCAGUGUGUGGCAUCAGUGAGGAAUUAUACCAGCGGCACAGGAGUAGCUGCACCUCCUUAUGAUCCCAAAACAGAGAUUUGCACCUUACUUUCUAAGGGUCAUGGGAUGUGUCAUGGAGAUUCCGGCAGUGCUUUGAUGACCUACUAUGGACUUCGUACGCAAAUUGGUAUUGUGUCUUGGGGUUUCCCGUGCGCACGCGGCGCUCCUGACUUUUUUACAAGAGUUAGCGCAUUUACUGAUUUUAUUUACGAUGUUGUGAGGCCAUUUUCAUUGCAAAUUCAAUAA